UGGGGAAUUUUGGACAAUGGGCGAAAGCCUGAUCCAGCAAUGCCGCGUGUGUGAAGAAGGCCUUCGGGUUGUAAAGCACUUUUGUCCGGAAAGAAAUCCUCUGGGUUAAUACCUCGGGGGGAUGACGGUACCGGAAGAAUAAGCACCGGCUAACUACGUGCCAGCAGCCGCGGUAAUACGUAGGGUGCAAGCGUUAAUCGGAAUUACUGGGCGUAAAGCGUGCGCAGGCGGUUUUGUAAGACGGAUGUGAAAUCCCCGGGCUUAACCUGGGAACUGCAUUCGUGACUGCAAGGCUAGAGUAUGGCAGAGGGGGGUAGAAUUCCACGUGUAGCAGUGAAAUGCGUAGAGAUGUGGAGGAAUACCGAUGGCGAAGGCAGCCCCCUGGGCCAAUACUGACGCUCAUGCACGAAAGCGUGGGGAGCAAACAGGAUUAGAUACCCUGGUAGUCCACGCCCUAAAACGAUGUCAACUAGUUGUUGGGGAUUCAUUUCCUUAGUAACGUAGCUAACGCGUGAAGUUGACCGCCUGGGGAGUACGGUCGCAAGAUUAAAACUUAAAUGAAUUGACGGGGUCAUAGCUGUUUCCU
RNAcentral lists this ribosomal RNA (586 nucleotides) under uncultured bacterium. RNAcentral's name for it is "partial 16S ribosomal RNA". It matches the Rfam family "Bacterial small subunit ribosomal RNA", at positions 355 to 1375 of the family's 1533-position model. The record is from RNAcentral.